RNAcentral lists this transfer RNA (73 nucleotides) under Camelus bactrianus (Bactrian camel). It matches the Rfam family "tRNA". Rfam says of the family: Transfer RNA (tRNA) molecules are approximately 80 nucleotides in length. Their secondary structure includes four short double-helical elements and three loops (D, anti-codon, and T loops). The record is from Rfam by way of RNAcentral. RNAcentral also lists the same sequence under 2 other names. Lineage: Eukaryota; Metazoa; Chordata; Mammalia; Artiodactyla; Camelidae.
GAGGGUAUAGCUCAAGUGGUAGAGUGCUGGCUUAGCAUGCAUGAGGUCCUGGGUCCGAUCCCCAGCACCUCCA